Molecule: long non-coding RNA, 90 nt
Organism: Octodon degus (degu)
Lineage: Eukaryota; Metazoa; Chordata; Mammalia; Rodentia; Octodontidae
Exons: 3
Source: RefSeq, a predicted model, not a curated record
GGCCUGAAUAAACUGCUGAAGGAAGAGCUGUGUGUUGUGUCUCCUUGCUGGUGAGGUCGUGUGCAACAAGUGCCCUUUAAUUAACUGCUC